CUCUGUAGGUAACUUUUGCUGUCAUUCAGUUUCUUCUAAUGUGAAGUAAUUGGUACCCUUUAAAGCUAUGAUUUCAAAGUAUUCUCCCCAACACUGAACUAGCGAUUAUUAUGCUAUGUUUUCCAUUUUAAUUUGGCUGUGCUGACAAUAGUUUAGAAAUGGAAGGAGUAUGGCUGUUUCAGAUAACCACUAAAAACUACCAAGAAAGAAA
Molecule: long non-coding RNA, 211 nt
Organism: Alosa sapidissima (American shad)
Lineage: Eukaryota; Metazoa; Chordata; Actinopteri; Clupeiformes; Clupeidae
Exons: 2
Source: RefSeq, a predicted model, not a curated record